This 400-nucleotide ribosomal RNA is filed under the name uncultured bacterium. Its description in RNAcentral is "bacterial SSU rRNA". It matches the Rfam family "Bacterial small subunit ribosomal RNA", at positions 355 to 772 of the family's 1533-position model. The record is from RNAcentral.
UGGGGGAUAUUGCACAAUGGGCGAAAGCCUGAUGCAGCGACGCCGCGUGAGGGAAGACGGUCUUCGGAUUGUAAACCUCUGUCUUUGGGGAAGAAAUCAGACGGUACCCAAAGAGGAAGCUCCGGCUAACUACGUGCCAGCAGCCGCGGUAAUACGUAGGGAGCGAGCGUUGUCCGGAAUUACUGGGUGUAAAGGGAGCGUAGGCGGGCUUGUAAGUUGAAUGUCUAAUCCACCGGCUCAACCGGUGAUCGCGUUCAAAACUGCAGGUCUUGAGUGAAGUAGAGGCAGGCGGAAUUCCUAGUGUAGCGGUGAAAUGCGUAGAUAUUAGGAGGAACACCAGUGGCGAAGGCGGCCUGCUGGGCUUUAACUGACGCUGAGGCUCGAAAGCGUGGGGAGCAAA